GGGGAAUAUUGGACAAUGGGCGCAAGCCUGAUCCAGCCAUACCGCGUGGGUGAAGAAGGCCUUCGGGUUGUAAAGCCCUUUUGUUGGGAAAGAAAUCCAGCUGGCUAAUACCCGGUUGGGAUGACGGUACCCAAAGAAUAAGCACCGGCUAACUUCGUGCCAGCAGCCGCGGUAAUACGAAGGGUGCAAGCGUUACUCGGAAUUACUGGGCGUAAAGCGUGCGUAGGUGGUCGUUUAAGUCCGUUGUGAAAGCCCUGGGCUCAACCUGGGAACUGCAGUGGAUACUGGACGACUAGAGUGUGGUAGAGGGUAGCGGAAUUCCUGGUGUAGCAGUGAAAUGCGUAGAGAUCAGGAGGAACAUCCAUGGCGAAGGCAGCUACCUGGACCAACACUGACACUGAGGCACGAAAGCGUGGGGAGCAAAC
RNAcentral lists this ribosomal RNA (425 nucleotides) under uncultured bacterium. RNAcentral's name for it is "bacterial SSU rRNA". It matches the Rfam family "Bacterial small subunit ribosomal RNA", at positions 356 to 773 of the family's 1533-position model. The record is from RNAcentral.